UACGGGGGGGGCAAGCGUUGUUCGGAAUUACUGGGCGUAAAGGGCUCGUAGGCGGCCAACUAAGUCGGACGUGAAAUCCCCAGGCUCAACCUGGGAACUGCGUCCGAUGCUGGAUGGCUUGAAUCCGGGAGAGGGAUGCAGAAUUCCAGGUGUAGCGGUGAAAUGCGUAGAUAUCUGGAGGAAUACCGGUGGCGAAGGCGGCAUCCUGGACCGGCAUUGACGCUGAGGAGCGAAAGCCAGGGGAGCAAACGGG
RNAcentral lists this ribosomal RNA (253 nucleotides) under uncultured bacterium. RNAcentral's name for it is "partial 16S ribosomal RNA". It matches the Rfam family "Bacterial small subunit ribosomal RNA", at positions 524 to 776 of the family's 1533-position model. The record is from RNAcentral.